RNAcentral lists this ribosomal RNA (253 nucleotides) under uncultured Syntrophaceae bacterium. RNAcentral describes it as "partial 16S ribosomal RNA". It matches the Rfam family "Bacterial small subunit ribosomal RNA", at positions 524 to 776 of the family's 1533-position model. Lineage: Bacteria; Pseudomonadati; Thermodesulfobacteriota; Syntrophia; Syntrophales; Syntrophaceae. The record is from RNAcentral.
UACGGGGGGUGCAAGCGUUGUUCGGAAUUAUUGGGCGUAAAGAGCGUGUAGGCGGCCUGAUGUGUCAGAUGUGAAAGCCCUGGGCUUAACCCAGGAAGUGCAUUUGAAACUGUCAGGCUCGAGUAGGGGAGAGGGAAGUGGAAUUCCUGGUGUAGAGGUGAAAUUCGUAGAUAUCAGGAGGAACACCGGUGGCGAAGGCGACUUCCUGGCCCUAUACUGACGCUGAGACGCGAGAGCGUGGGUAGCAAACAGG